This 287-nucleotide ribosomal RNA is filed under the name Salmonella enterica. RNAcentral describes it as "partial 23S ribosomal RNA". It matches the Rfam family "Bacterial large subunit ribosomal RNA", at positions 1 to 279 of the family's 2925-position model. Lineage: Bacteria; Pseudomonadati; Pseudomonadota; Gammaproteobacteria; Enterobacterales; Enterobacteriaceae. The record is from RNAcentral.
GGGUUGUGAGGUUAAGCGACUAAGCGUACACGGUGGAUGCCCUGGCAGUCAGAGGCGAUGAAGGACGUGCUAAUCUGCGAUAAGCGUCGGUAAGGUGAUAUGAACCGUUAUAACCGGCGAUUUCCGAAUGGGGAAACCCAGUGUGAUUCGUCACACUAUCGUUAACUGAAUACAUAGGUUAACGAAGCGAACCGGGGGAACUGAAACAUCUAAGUACCCCGAGGAAAAGAAAUCAACCGAGAUUCCCCCAGUAGCGGCGAGCGAACGGGGAGGAGCCCAGAGCCUGA